AACGAACGCUGGCGGCAUGCCUAACACAUGCAAGUCGAACGGGAGCUCCGGGUCUAGUGGCGUAUGGGGGGUUAACGCGUGGGGACCAGCCCAUAGGUACGGAAUAACUCCCGGGGAGGGGUGCGAAGAACGGCUAAUGACUUCGGACCACAGAUUUAUCGCCUUUGGAUGGGCCCGCCGUGGAUUAGCUAGUUGGUAGGGGAAAAGCCUACCAAGGUGACGAUCCAGAUCUGGGCUGAGAGGCUGAUCCGACACACCUGGAUUGAGACGCAGCCCAGACUCUUACGGGAGGCAGCAGUGGGGAAUAUUGCACAGUGGGCUAAAUCAUGAUCCAGCUCUGCUGGGUGAGUGAUGAUGGCCUUAGAGUUGUAAAGCUCUUUAACACGGGAGGAUGAUGACAGUACCGGGAGAAUAAGCUCCGGCUAACUCCGUG
RNAcentral lists this ribosomal RNA (433 nucleotides) under uncultured bacterium. RNAcentral's name for it is "partial 16S ribosomal RNA". It matches the Rfam family "Bacterial small subunit ribosomal RNA", at positions 29 to 507 of the family's 1533-position model. The record is from RNAcentral.